AUGAUUCCAACUCAGAGACCUACAGUGACUAACAUUGAUCGGGUGUCAGAUCUUAUAGACACACGAAACUGGUCUUGGAAGAUUGAUGUGAUCAGAGACAAUUUUACUGCUCAGGAUGCCACGGCCAUACUAAAUAUCCCAAUUAGGCAAGGCGGGGGCGAUGAUUUUCUUGCAUGGGCAUUUGACAAAUCAGGUAACUACACUGUUAAAACGGCGUACCGCGCUCUCGUGACUCAUAACGAGCCUUUGGCUCUAGAGGAAGGGACGGCUACCGAAGCCUCAUUGGACGAUCAACAGUUGUGGAAAUCCUUAUGGAAGUUAAAUGUUAUACCAAAAGUGAGAGUGUUC
This 348-nucleotide ribosomal RNA is filed under the name Triticum aestivum (bread wheat). RNAcentral describes it as "partial small subunit ribosomal RNA". Lineage: Eukaryota; Viridiplantae; Streptophyta; Magnoliopsida; Poales; Poaceae. The record is from RNAcentral.